GGGUUAAAAUUUUGAUUUAAAGCUAAUUAAUUGUCAAUUUCUACUUGUUGGAGUAUUGUGUUUUGAGUUUACUCUUGUUAACAGAAUUCUCCAAAGGAAAACAUCAUUCUGUUUGGAAUCUGUUGAAGUCAAAUUUUCAUCAUAGGGCUGUCAGAUACUGCGUUAAUGGACAUGGUUGUCUCAAAUCUUCAACAGCAACGAGCUAUCGUUCAACAACUCAGAAGAGAAGCUGCCUUUAAAAGGAUGCCUGUGUCAUUAGCAGUUGCGGAUAUCAUCAAGUACAUAACAGAGCACGAACAAGAUGACUGCUUACUUGUGGGAUUCUCAAGUCAACGAGUAAAUCCUUUCAGAGAAAAAACUCCAUGUUCUAUUUUGUAAUUUAAAAUGACUAAAUUAUUCCUAGAGUUAAGUUGUAUGUAAAGGGUUGCUUCCCUAAUUAUUUUCACUGCAGAUUGCCAAAUACAUCAACUUACAAGACUGACGUGAAAAUUGUUUAGGUCCAACUUUUAAAACACCUCUUGGCCAGCAUUUCGAAGCUUUACCUUGUAUCUAUAAUAAAUAUUAGAAUUAUUCAAAGAUUUGAAACUCAGGUAGGACUCAAGUCUUUUAUUCAAUUGUAAAAAUGGAAAAGCUCUACUCUAGGGAUGCUAAAUAUUUUAUUUAAUGCGAUCUGUCCAAUAAAUUAUCUAUGAAUUUAAUAAAGUCUACAUUUA
Long non-coding RNA from Harmonia axyridis, 713 nucleotides. RefSeq lists it as uncharacterized. Lineage: Eukaryota; Metazoa; Arthropoda; Insecta; Coleoptera; Coccinellidae. The record is from RefSeq and is a predicted model, not a curated record. The transcript is spliced from 2 exons.